Molecule: ribosomal RNA, 297 nt
Filed under: Pantoea sp. LL80
Lineage: Bacteria; Pseudomonadati; Pseudomonadota; Gammaproteobacteria; Enterobacterales; Erwiniaceae
Description: partial 16S ribosomal RNA
Rfam family: Bacterial small subunit ribosomal RNA
Source: RNAcentral
UGCAAGUCGGACGGUAGCACAGAGAGCUUGCUCUCGGGUGACGAGUGGCGGACGGGUGAGUAAUGUCUGGGGAUCUGCCCGAUAGAGGGGGAUAACCACUGGAAACGGUGGCUAAUACCGCAUAACGUCGCAAGACCAAAGAGGGGGACCUUCGGGCCUCUCACUAUCGGAUGAACCCAGAUGGGAUUAGCUAGUAGGCGGGGUAAUGGCCCACCUAGGCGACGAUCCCUAGCUGGUCUGAGAGGAUGACCAGCCACACUGGAACUGAGACACGGUCCAGACUCCUACGGGAGGUAG